UACGGAGGGUGCAAGCGUUAUCCGGAUUUAUUAGGUUUAAAGGGUCCGCAGGCGGAAUAUUAAGUCAGUGGUGAAAGCCUACAGCUCAACUGUAGAACUGCCAUUGAAACUGUUAUUCUUGAGUAUGGAUGAAGUGGGCGGAAUAUGUCAUGUAGCGGUGAAAUGCAUAGAUAUGACAUGGAACACCAAUUGCGAAGGCAGCUCACUAAACCAUUACUGACGCUCAUGGACGAAAGCGUGGGGAGCGAAC
This 250-nucleotide ribosomal RNA is filed under the name uncultured bacterium. Its description in RNAcentral is "partial 16S ribosomal RNA". It matches the Rfam family "Bacterial small subunit ribosomal RNA", at positions 524 to 773 of the family's 1533-position model. The record is from RNAcentral.